RNAcentral lists this ribosomal RNA (253 nucleotides) under uncultured bacterium. RNAcentral's name for it is "partial 16S ribosomal RNA". It matches the Rfam family "Bacterial small subunit ribosomal RNA", at positions 524 to 776 of the family's 1533-position model. The record is from RNAcentral.
UACGUAGGGGGCAAGCGUUGUCCGGAAUCAUUGGGCGUAAAGAGCGUGUAGGCGGCCCGAUAAGUCCGCCGUGAAAGUCCAGGGCUCAACCCUGGAAUGCCGGUGGAAACUGUCGGGCUGGAGUCCGGAAGAGGAGAAUGGAAUUCCCGGUGUAGCGGUGAAAUGCGCAGAUAUCGGGAAGAACACCCGUGGCGAAGGCGGUUCUCUGGGACGGUACUGACGCUGAGACGCGAAAGCGUGGGGAGCGAACAGG